Molecule: ribosomal RNA, 406 nt
Filed under: uncultured bacterium
Lineage: Bacteria
Description: partial 16S ribosomal RNA
Rfam family: Bacterial small subunit ribosomal RNA
Source: RNAcentral
AUUGAACGCUGGCGGCAGGCCUAACACAUGCAAGUCGGACGAGCGGCGGGCGGGUGAGGUAUGUCUAGGGUGCUGUCUGAUGGAGGAGGAUAGCUAGUGGAAACGGUAGAUAAUCUAGCAUAACGUUAGGGGCACACAUAUGGGAUUAGCUUGUAGGUAAGGUAACGGCUUACCUAGGCGACGAUCCCUAGCUGGUCUGAGAGGAUGAUCAGCCACACUGGGACUGAGACACGGCCCAGACUCCUACGGGAGGCAGCAGUGGGGAAUAUUGCGCAAUGGGCGCAAGCCUGAUGCAGCCAUGCCGCGUGUAUGAAGAAGGCCUUCGGGUUGUAAAGUACUUUCAGUCGGGAGGCGUUACCGACAGAAGAAGCACCGGCUAACUCCGUGCCAGCAGCCGCGGUAAUAC